RNAcentral lists this ribosomal RNA (421 nucleotides) under Prodontocharax sp. MNHG2725025-1525. Its description in RNAcentral is "partial 12S ribosomal RNA". It matches the Rfam family "Bacterial small subunit ribosomal RNA", at positions 774 to 1396 of the family's 1533-position model. Lineage: Eukaryota; Metazoa; Chordata; Actinopteri; Characiformes; Characidae. The record is from RNAcentral.
GGGAUUAGAUACCCCACUAUGCUUAGCCCUAAACUUUGAUGAUACAACCACUAAUAACAUCCGCCAGGGUACUACAAGCGCCAGCUUAAAACCCAAAGGACUUGACGGUGUCUCAGACCCACCUAGAGGAGCCUGUUCUAGAACCGAUAACCCCCGUUCAACCUCACCACCCCUUGUCCCCUCCGCCUAUAUACCGCCGUCGCAAGCUUACCCUGUGAAGGUCCUACAGUAAGCAAAAUGGGCAAACCCCAAAACGUCAGGUCGAGGUGUAGCUUACGAGGUGGGAAGAAAUGGGCUACAUUUUCUAACUCAGAAUAUUACGAACGGCACUGUGAAACCUGUGCCUGAAGGUGGAUUUAGUAGUAAAAAAUAAGUAGAGAGUCUUUUUGAACCAGGCUCUGAGACGCGCACACACCGCCCC